GCGCCAGAUAUUCUUGCGGAAACUUGCCCAGAUAAUGAGUUCCCCACAAGCUCAACCAAAUACACUCUUGGAAGCCCCCAGAACUCUUCUGGAACAGUCCCAGAAAGCCGGUUGUUCCUUAACCGAGCACGGCCUAAACUGCGGCAUUUUCCCAGACUUUCUGGGAUUUUCCCGGAAAAUGAAUUGUAUAUCAAAAUGAGGUCUUC
Molecule: unclassified non-coding RNA, 206 nt
Filed under: Hevea brasiliensis (rubber tree)
Lineage: Eukaryota; Viridiplantae; Streptophyta; Magnoliopsida; Malpighiales; Euphorbiaceae
Source: RNAcentral